ACAGUCAUCCUACGGGAAGCAGCAGUAGGGAAUCUUCCACAAUGGACGAAAGUCUGAUGGAGCAACGCCGCGUGAGUGAAGAAGGGUUUCGGCUCGUAAAGCUCUGUUGGUAGUGAAGAAAGAUAGAGGUAGUAACUGGCCUUUAUUUGACGGUAAUUACUUAGAAAGUCACGGCUAACUACGUGCC
This 187-nucleotide ribosomal RNA is filed under the name uncultured bacterium. Its description in RNAcentral is "partial 16S ribosomal RNA". It matches the Rfam family "Bacterial small subunit ribosomal RNA", at positions 330 to 509 of the family's 1533-position model. The record is from RNAcentral.